RNAcentral lists this ribosomal RNA (426 nucleotides) under uncultured bacterium. RNAcentral describes it as "bacterial SSU rRNA". It matches the Rfam family "Bacterial small subunit ribosomal RNA", at positions 356 to 773 of the family's 1533-position model. The record is from RNAcentral.
AGGGAAUCUUCCGCAAUGGACGAAAGUCUGACGGAGCAACGCCGCGUGAGUGAAGAAGGCCUUCGGGUCGUAAAACUCUGUUGCCGGGGAAGAACAAGUGCCGUUCGAACAGGGCGGCGCCUUGACGGUACCCGGCCAGAAAGCCACGGCUAACUACGUGCCAGCAGCCGCGGUAAUACGUAGGGGGCAAGCGUUGUCCGGAAUUAUUGGGCGUAAAGCGCGCGCAGGCGGCUUCUUAAGUCUGAUGUGAAAUCUUGCGGCUCAACCGCAAGCGGUCAUUGGAAACUGGGAGGCUUGAGUGCAGAAGAGGAGAGUGGAAUUCCACGUGUAGCGGUGAAAUGCGUAGAGAUGUGGAGGAACACCAGUGGCGAAGGCGGCUUUCUGGACUGUAACUGACGCUGAGGCAUGAAAGCGUGGGGAGCAAAC